CAACGUAAAGAACCUGCCUCAUAGACUGGGAUAACUAUUGGAAACGAUAGCUAAUACCGGAUAACAGCAUUAACUGCAUGGUUGAUGUUUAAAAGUUGGUUUUGCUAACACUAUGAGAUGGCUUUGCGGUGCAUUAGCUAGUUGGUGGGGUAAAGGCCUACCAAGGCGACGAUGCAUAGCCGACCUGAGAGGGUGAUCGGCCACACUGGGACUGAGACACGGCCCAG
RNAcentral lists this ribosomal RNA (227 nucleotides) under uncultured bacterium. Its description in RNAcentral is "partial 16S ribosomal RNA". It matches the Rfam family "Bacterial small subunit ribosomal RNA", at positions 113 to 334 of the family's 1533-position model. The record is from RNAcentral.